CAAAAAAGCCGGAAUAGCUCAGUUGGUAGAGCAGAGGACUGAAAAUC
RNAcentral lists this transfer RNA (47 nucleotides) under Palustriella falcata. RNAcentral describes it as "partial tRNA-Phe". The stretch from base 8 to 47 matches the Rfam family "tRNA", at positions 1 to 39 of the family's 71-position model. From Rfam's summary of the family: Transfer RNA (tRNA) molecules are approximately 80 nucleotides in length. Their secondary structure includes four short double-helical elements and three loops (D, anti-codon, and T loops). The record is from RNAcentral. Lineage: Eukaryota; Viridiplantae; Streptophyta; Bryopsida; Hypnales; Amblystegiaceae.